Taeniopygia guttata (zebra finch) is the source of this 649-nucleotide non-coding RNA. The record is from RefSeq and is a predicted model, not a curated record. NCBI's taxonomy places the organism in Eukaryota, Metazoa, Chordata, Aves, Passeriformes, Estrildidae.
CCGGGCUGCUCCCUCAGACACAACAGCCCGGGCGUGGGAACCGCGCCGCUCUCGCGAGAGCCCGCUGCCGGCCGGCAUGCGGACAGCGGCGCAGCUGAAGUGCGUAAGAUGCGUUUGUUUAGCAAACAGAAGCAGUGGGGUCUGGCAGAGUCCCAGGCAGCUGAGCGAGCCUGUGGCGACAGGCGGCUGAGAGCGCACGGGGACAAGAGCGGUCUGCCGCACGGCGCUGCCACACGGGCUGUGCUCCGACGUCUGAUAAAGACCGCAGAAAAAGACGAUCCCUAUUUUGGAUUCAUUUAACAACACCCUUCGGGGCGCGGGUGUGAUCGUCCAUUAUGAGACUAAGUUUGAAAACUAAUCCUUUUACAUUAAGACUUCUGUCUGUUUCAACUUCGUCUGUGUUUAGUAUAACAUGUCAGUCUAACUCCGGGACAGAUGCUACAUUGAUUUAAAGAUUGCUGAGGUUCCAAAGCCCACAUCUUUUUUACUAUGUUAGCUCUACGUCUGCUGUUUUCCAAAUUACGGGGGAAAAUAACAUUGCAGUAGUCCCAUGAAUAAGAUUUCAGAUUUCUUGCCCACAUAUGCGCUUCACUGCUUAUGCUAAUUCAAUGAAUAAUGUCUGAGAUAAAUAAAAACACGUUUCAAGCGA